RNAcentral lists this ribosomal RNA (253 nucleotides) under uncultured bacterium. RNAcentral's name for it is "partial 16S ribosomal RNA". It matches the Rfam family "Bacterial small subunit ribosomal RNA", at positions 524 to 776 of the family's 1533-position model. The record is from RNAcentral.
UACGUAGGUGGCAAGCGUUGUCCGGAAUUAUUGGGCGUAAAGCGCGCGCAGGCGGCCUUUUAAGUCUGAUGUGAAAGCCCUGGGCUCAACCUGGGAAUUGCAUUGGAUACUGGCAGGCUAGAGUGCGGUAGAGGAUGGCGGAAUUCCCGGUGUAGCAGUGAAAUGCGUAGAGAUCGGGAGGAACAUCUGUGGCGAAGGCGGCCAUCUGGACCAGCACUGACACUGAGGCACGAAAGCGUGGGGAGCAAACAGG